Molecule: long non-coding RNA, 2664 nt
Filed under: Podarcis lilfordi (Lilford's wall lizard)
Lineage: Eukaryota; Metazoa; Chordata; Lepidosauria; Squamata; Lacertidae
Source: RNAcentral
GCAAGCUUUAUUCAGGUUCUUUAGUUGUAUUUGCUGUCUGUCCUCUUCUUUCUUUUUAAGUCUGUUUGAAUCAUUGAGAGCAGGUUACUUAUGAAAGUAUUUUUUUUGUAUUUGAAAGAUGCUAAGUGUGGGAUGCAGUAUGGCUUAGCUGUUGCUGUACUAUCAAACUUAAAUAUAUCUAGCUGCAUACACUUUCCUUUUAUAUUUUAUCUGUUUAGAAUGGUAGUGACUACAGUAUCUCCCUUAAAAGUUCAGCAGCAGGGUUAAAUAGGGUUUAAUUCUUUAAACAAGACUGUAGAAAUUUCCAUGCAUAUAACUGGACUUCUAUAUUUCCUUGAGUUGCAACCAUGUGGUUUCAUGCUAUACACUUGAUGUAACUGAGUGAACCUGCAAGCUAAACACUGAUUCUCUCUUGUUCUUUCUGUAGCUUCUUUAGUCUUCCCAGUUCGCGCUCCAUAACAUCAGGAAGAUAUGUAAAUUAGAAGAUUUAUUAAGGCCAAAACACCUCAUGCAGAAGAAAUUUAAUUGGUGCUUCUACUUUUUUUAUGCUUGCAAUGUAUUGCACAGAAGAGAUUCCAAAGCAAGAAGUGAUUUGGACAACAUUGCCUUGACCAGGUUUCUUGAUUAAGUAGACCUCUGAUAAUUCAACCAUAAAUUGUUAAUUCCAGCUAAAUGCAUGGCAUGCACUAAAACCAAAGAACUAAUCUUCUUACAUGAUGGGUGAAAGAACCCCAAACAAAAGUUUUCCAGUGGCAGACUGAACACACUUGGCAUGUGUUCAGCAUGAAAUAGAUGCUGCUUUAAACUGCCGUUGUAAAUGGGAGCUUGAUAUGUUUGUCUAUAAAAUUGGCUUUGGGUCUAUAAAGUAACAGUGUGUCCUAAUUAUGCUUCAUAGACAAAAGUCCCACUCCUUAUAACUUCCUUUUGUGGGACUAAUAAUAACUGCCCAAUGUAUUUCAGAUUGGGGCUUAAAAUACCAAAUUUUAACUAUCCCUAACCUUCCCGUGAAAUUUUAGAAUCUUUUAGCGCUAACUAUUUUGCAGAGGUUUCCCCUAUAUAAAAUGUAUUGUCAAGGUAUUUUCUAUGGAAGAAAGUCACCCAAUAGUUUCCUAAAGAGAAGGUGCCUAAUUUGAUAGAGGGAGGCUCCUCCUUGACCCAUUUUCUUCUCCUUCCUUACUUCUGUAUUUACAUCUGUUUGUUGUUACAGGAAAUGGCUGGAGUGCCCCCAAUCUUUUCCUAUCUGCAAAUAAUAAAUUGAACUUGAUUGUAAAACCAUUUUAAAAGGACAACUGAUUGGGGAGGGGAAGAGGAGCCAGGAAGCAUGUGCAAAGUGAUUGCCAUAGUGGAACUGAGAGGGUUGUGUUGUUGCCCAUGCUCUCCUUUUAGCAAACAGGGUUUAUUUUGUAAUACAAAGGCCUAAAUUCCUGCCCUGUUCAGAGAUAAGAUCUAAAAAAGACACCUAGGAAGCAAAAUAAUGUUAAACAUUCUAUUAACAAGCUGUUACUUGGCUAUCUCAUUGUGUUAAGACAGAAAGCUAUGUGGAUAGGGACCGAUAUGGGCUUUGGUGUAUUUUGUAAUUUAUUUAUAUUUUUAGCAAAAUAAGUGAAACCCAUAAAUAAAAUUGGCAUGUAUUGGAAAGGCAAAAUGUGAGAACAAUUGCUGUAAAGUUGGUGCCCUACAGUAUUCCUAAAAUGCAGCAGUUCUCUGGGAGGUCAUUCACAGCGUGCACUGGCCACUCUUCCCCAUUCCUCCUGACUACGGGUGGGAGUUCCCACCAGUAAUUCCAUAGAGAAAUUCCUGUUAAUGGCCAGCAGCACCCAGUGUCUCAAUAGCUGCUUACUUUCUUAAUCUCAGCCACCUUUCUUGGUAUCGCCCCGAAAUGUCUGAGGGAUGCAAGCUCUAUGACUGUAUAGCAACUGUUUCCAGAGUUUUCAUGUCCUUGUGCCCUUAGAUCUUGAUGAGCACGAAUUCAAGGGGAGAUGUUGUUUUGUGUUGUGAGGGCUACGAGUAAGGCACCAGAAGAUGAAGGCAGCAGCUGCAGUGUUUUACAAAUAAGAAACAGCCUGAAUUCUGUUAGGUAGGUGACAGAAAGUGGUGUAAACAUGGACAGGGACAGGGGAACGUGUCUCUUUGCAGUGCCAGCUUCCAGUCUAGCAAGAGGCCCAGAUCAGGUCUGUUGCCCUCACCUGACAGCAGCAUUGUCCACACAGGAUCCUGCUCUGGGCUGCCCUCAAUGUUGCCAGAGAUGCCAAACCACGUGCAAUUUUGGGAAGCACACUGGGGUGCUCAUUGAUGGGGCUCCCCCAACGAACAGCAAAGCUCCUCAAACCAGAGCCCCAAUGUAGGGCCACCUCCACCCCAUCUGAACCAGUUCCAUAACGGCAGAUCAGGGGAAUGGGUUACUCUCCCCAUAGCUCAGUUGGUAGGGCACGAGACUCUUAAUACCAUGUGUUUGAGUCCCAUGUUAGGCAAAAAUAAAUCCUGCAUUGCAAGGGGUAGGACUAGAUGAUCCUUGGGGUCCCUUCCAACUCUAUGAAUAUACUGCAUAUAUUCCUAUUAUAUAGCAUUCACGUUAUUUAAUACAGUAAAUAUAAACAAUCAACAGAGUUCAGUACCAUUGCCAUUCAAUGAUCAGACUGAAAGAAACUGCAGAGAUGUGAUUCC